GACGAACCGUGCAAACGUUGUUCGGAAUCACUGGGCUUAAAGGGCGCGUAGGCGGGCCAGCCAGUCUGUGGUGAAAGCCCCCGGCUUAACCGGGGAAGUGCCGUGGAUACUGCUGGCCUCGAGGAGGGUAGGGGCAUCUGGAACGGUCGGUGGAGCGGUGAAAUGCGUUGAUAUCGACCGGAACUCCGGUGGCGAAGGCGAGGUGCUGGACCCUUUUUGACGCUGAUGCGCGAAAGCCAGGGGAGCAAACGGG
This 253-nucleotide ribosomal RNA is filed under the name uncultured bacterium. Its description in RNAcentral is "partial 16S ribosomal RNA". It matches the Rfam family "Bacterial small subunit ribosomal RNA", at positions 524 to 776 of the family's 1533-position model. The record is from RNAcentral.